AUGGACCGUGCAGCAAUCACCACGAUGCCACGGAAGCUGGUGGUGCUGUACCCGUCGCCGGGCAUGGGCCACCUGGUCUCGAUGAUCGAACUGGGUAAGAUCAUCGCCGCCCGCGGCCUCGCCGUCACCAUCGUCGUCAUCGAUCUACCGCACAACACCGGGGCAAGCGCAACAGGGCCCUUCCUCGCCGGGGUCUCCGCGGCCAACCCCACCAUCUCCUUCCACCGUCUCCCGCAAGUCGAUCUCCCGCCCGUAAAAUCCAGCCACCUAGAGACAUUGACCUUCGAGGUCGCCCGCGUCUCAAACCCUCACCUGCGUGAUUUCCUUGCUGCCACCUCCCCUGCCGUUCUCGUCGCAGACUUCUUCUGUAAUGUCGCACGCGGCUUUGCCUCGGAGCUCGGCAUUCCCAUCUACUUCUUCUUCACCUCCGGCGCUGAGGUCCUGGCUCUCUACUUGCAUCUCCCGGUCCUGCACGCUCAGAUUACCGCCAACUUCCAGGACAUGGGUGAUGAGCUCGUGCACGUUCCCGGAAUCCCCUCGUUUCCGGCGACAGACUCCAUGCGGCCAAUCAUGGACCGUGAUGACAUAGCAUACACGAAGUUCGUGAGUGUGUGCAGCGACCUGUGCCUGUCCCAGGGCAUCCUCGUCAACACCUUCCGCUCGCUCGAGCCGCGGGCCGUGGAGACCAUCCUCGCCGGGCUCUGCUCGCCUUCCGGACUUCCGACCCCGCCAGUCUACUGCAUUGGGCCGCUGAUAAAGAUGCAGGAGGUGGGCACCAAGUGCGGCGACGAGUGCAUCGCGUGGCUGGAUGCCCAACCCAAGGACAGCGUGGUGUUCCUCUGCUUCGGCAGCCUCGGUCGGUUUAGCGCCAAGCAGAUCAAGGAGGUGGCGGCCGGGCUAGAGGCAAGCCGGCAGCGUUUCCUUUGGGUCAUAAAGAGCCCGCCCAGCGAUGACCCGACGAAGAAGUUCGACGGGCCAUCGGAGCCGGACCUCGACGCCCUACUCCCGGAGGGCUUCCUGGACCGUACCAAGGAGACAGGCCUGGUCGUGAAGUCAUGGGCACCUCAGCGCGAUGUGCUUAUGCACACAGCGGUGGCCUUGUUCGUGACGCACUGUGGAUGGAACUCCGUGCUGGAGUCGGUCAUGGCGGGUGUGCCGAUGCUAGCGUGGCCAUUGUACGCAGAGCAGCGGGUGAACAAGGUGUUCCUGGAGAAGGAGCUUGGGCUAGCUUUGGCGAUCGAAGGGUACGACAAGGAGGUGGUGGAGGCCGAGGAGAUGGCAGCAAAGGUGAAGUGGAUGAUGGACUCUGACGGCGGGAGGGUGAUCCGUGAGCGGACGCAGGCGGCCAUGCGUCAGGCGAAUGAGGCGAUGCGUGAGGGCGGGGAGUCUGAGGCGACGCUGGCGUCGCUGGUUGACGCGUGGGUACUUGCUUGA
Molecule: ribosomal RNA, 1434 nt
Filed under: Triticum aestivum (bread wheat)
Lineage: Eukaryota; Viridiplantae; Streptophyta; Magnoliopsida; Poales; Poaceae
Description: partial small subunit ribosomal RNA
Source: RNAcentral